GGUGGCUCAGUGGUAGAGUGCUUGCCUUGGAAGCAUGCAUGAGGCCCUGGGUUCAAUUCCUCAGCACCA
RNAcentral lists this transfer RNA (69 nucleotides) under Dipodomys ordii (Ord's kangaroo rat). It matches the Rfam family "tRNA". Rfam says of the family: Transfer RNA (tRNA) molecules are approximately 80 nucleotides in length. Lineage: Eukaryota; Metazoa; Chordata; Mammalia; Rodentia; Heteromyidae. The record is from Rfam by way of RNAcentral.